AACAGGAUUAGAUACCCUGGUAGUCCACGCCGUAAACGAUGAGUGCUAGGUGUUGGGGGUUUCCGCCCUCUGUGCCGAAGGUAACCCAAUAAGCACUCCGCCUGGGGAGUACGGCCGCAAGGCUGAAACUCAAAGGAAUUGACGGGGGCCCGCACAAGCGGUGGAGCAUGUGGUUUAAUUCGAAGCAACGCGAAGAACCUUACCAGGGCUUGACAUCCCGCUGACCGGUGUAGAGAUACACCUUCCCUUCGGGGCAGCGGUGACAGGUGGUGCAUGGUUGUCGUCAGCUCGUGUCGUGAGAUGUUGGGUUCAGUCCCGCAACGAGCGCAACCCUUGUCGUCAGUUGCCAGCACAUGAUGGUGGGCACUCUGGCGAGACAGUCGGUGAAAGCCGGAGGAAGGUGGGGAUGACGUCAAAUCAUCAUGCCCCUUAUGUCCUGGGCUACACACGUGCUACAAUGGCCGGUACAACGGGCAGCGAACCCGUGAGGGGGAGCCAAUCCCAAAAAACCGGUCUCAGUUCGGAUCGCAGGCUGCAACUCGCCUGCGUGAAGCUGGAAUCGCUAGUAAUCGCGGAUCAGCAUGCCGCGGUGAAUCCGUUCCCGGGCCUUGUACACACCGCCCGUCACACCACGAGAGUCUGCAACACCCGAAGUCGGUGAGGUAACCUUCGGGAACCAGCCGCCGAAGGUGGGGCAGAUGAUUGGGGUGAAGUCGUAACAAGGUAACC
Molecule: ribosomal RNA, 729 nt
Filed under: uncultured bacterium
Lineage: Bacteria
Description: bacterial SSU rRNA
Rfam family: Bacterial small subunit ribosomal RNA
Source: RNAcentral